AGUGAACGCUGGCGGUAGGCCUAACACAUGCAAGUCGAACGGCAGCACAGUAAGAGCUUGCUCUUACGGGUGGCGAGUGGCGGACGGGUGAGGAAUACAUCGGAAUCUACUUUUUCGUGGGGGAUAACGUAGGGAAACUUACGCUAAUACCGCAUACGACCUACGGGUGAAAGCAGGGGAUCUUCGGACCUUGCGCGAUUGAAUGAGCCGAUGUCGGAUUAGCUAGUUGGCGGGGUAAGGGCCCACCAAGGCGACGAUCCGUAGCUGGUCUGAGAGGAUGAUCAGCCACACUGGAACUGAGACACGGUCCAGACUCCUACGGGAGGCAGCAGUGGGGAAUAUUGGACAAUGGGCGCAAGCCUGAUCCAGCCAUACCGCGUGGGUGAAGAAGGCCUUCGGGUUGUAAAGCCCUUUUGUUGGGAAAGAAAAGCAGCAGGUUAAUACCCCGCUGUUCCGACGGUACCCAAAGAAUAAGCACCGGCUAACUUCGUG
Molecule: ribosomal RNA, 492 nt
Filed under: uncultured bacterium
Lineage: Bacteria
Description: partial 16S ribosomal RNA
Rfam family: Bacterial small subunit ribosomal RNA
Source: RNAcentral